UAGGGAAUUUUCGGCAAUGGGGGAAACCCUGACCGAGCAACGCCGCGUGAAGGAAGAAGGUUUUCGGAUUGUAAACUUCUGUUAUAAAGGAAGAACGGCGGCUACAGGAAAUGGUAGCCGAGUGACGGUACUUUAUUAGAAAGCCACGGCUAACUACGUGCCAGCAGCCGCGGUAAUACGUAGGUGGCAAGCGUUAUCCGGAAUUAUUGGGCGUAAAGAGGGAGCAGGCGGCAGCAAGGGUCUGUGGUGAAAGCCUGAAGCUUAACUUCAGUAAGCCAUAGAAACCAGGCAGCUAGAGUGCAGGAGAGGAUCGUGGAAUUCCAUGUGUAGCGGUGAAAUGCGUAGAUAUAUGGAGGAACACCAGUGGCGAAGGCGACGAUCUGGCCUGCAACUGACGCUCAGUCCCGAAAGCGUGGGGAGCAAAUAGGAUUAGAUACCCUGGUAGU
Molecule: ribosomal RNA, 446 nt
Filed under: uncultured Clostridium sp.
Lineage: Bacteria; Bacillati; Bacillota; Clostridia; Eubacteriales; Clostridiaceae
Description: bacterial SSU rRNA
Rfam family: Bacterial small subunit ribosomal RNA
Source: RNAcentral